GCAGUUCAUGAAACAUGUUAUCUGAAAAAUCUGUGUUUCUAAUGGAAUUUGAAAGGAAAACAGCCAAUCAGAGACGAAGAGUCAGCUGUCAAUAGAGUGCUGCAGGGAUGAUGAAUUUUUGUAGGCCAACCAGGAAGUUAGCAUCGCCCUGGUUCCCUCAACAAAAAGACAAUGGGAUU
Molecule: long non-coding RNA, 179 nt
Organism: Sebastes umbrosus (honeycomb rockfish)
Lineage: Eukaryota; Metazoa; Chordata; Actinopteri; Perciformes; Sebastidae
Exons: 3
Source: RefSeq, a predicted model, not a curated record